GUGGGAAUCAUAAUGGCCGAAAAUCUAAGGUUUCCAGGGGAAGGUUCGUCCGCCCUGGGUAAGUCGGGACCUAAGACGAGGCCGAAAGGCGUAGCCGAUGGACAACUGGUUGAUAUUCCAGUACCUGCUUAGUUAGUGAUGGAGUGACAGAUGUGGUUAGUAUAUCCCCAUUAUUGGAUUUGGGGUUAAGCGAAGUAGUUGUAGUAUUGGCAAAUCCGUACUAUAAAACAAAUGCGUGAUAAGGAGUGAACGAGCGAUCAAGUAGCGAAGUUAUAUAUACCAUGUCUCAAGAAAAGCUUCUAAACUUAUAACUAAGUAGCCCGUACCUAAACCGACACAGGUGGUCAAGGCGAGUAGCCUAAGGUGAGCGAGAGAACUGUUGCCAAGGAACUCGGCAAAAUUGUCCCGUAACUUCGGAAGAAGGGACGCUCGAAAGAGCCGCAGCGAAGAGGCCCACGCAACUGUUUAUCUAAAACAUAGCUCUCUGCUAAGUCGAAAGACGAUGUAUAGGGGGUGACGCCUGCCCGGUGCUGGAAGGUUAAGGGGAUUUGUUAGACGUAAGUCGAAGCUUUGAACCGAAGCCCCAGUGAACGGCGGCCGUAACUAUAACGGUCCUAAGGUAGCGAAAUUCCUUGUCAGGUAAGUUCUGACCCGCACGAAAGGCGUAAUGAUGUGGGCGCUGUCUCGGCAGCAGACUCGGUGAAAUCUUAGUACCUGUGAAGAUGCAGGUUACCCGCAACUAGACGGAAAGACCCCAUGGAGCUUUACUAUAACUUAAUAUUGAGUUUUGAUUUAGUAUGUACAGGAUAGGUAGGAGACUUUGAAGUGAGAACGCUAGUUUUCAUGGAGUCGAUGUUGGGAUACUACUCUUAUUAACUCGAAAUUCUAACCUGCAGGUUACAUCAACCUGGGGAACAGUGUUAGGUGGGUAGUUUGACUGGGGCGGUCGCCUCCCAAAAUGUAACGGAGGCGCUCAAAGGUACUCUCAGGUUGGUUGGAAAUCAACUGUCGAGCGUAAUUGCAGAAGAGUGCUUGACUGCAAGACUUACAAGUCGAGCAGGGACGAAAGUCGGAAAUAGUGAUCCUGCGGUUCAGUAUGGAAUGGCCGUGGCUUAACGGAUAAAAGCUACCCUGGGGAUAACAGGCUGAUCUCCCCCAAGAGUUCACAUCGACGGGGAGGUUUGGCACCUCGAUGUCGGCUCAUCGCAUCCUGGAGCUGAAGUCGGUUCCAAGGGUUGGGCUGUUCGCCCAUUAAAGCGGUACGCGAGCUGGGUUCAGA
RNAcentral lists this ribosomal RNA (1279 nucleotides) under human gut metagenome. RNAcentral describes it as "bacterial LSU rRNA". It matches the Rfam family "Bacterial large subunit ribosomal RNA", at positions 1321 to 2615 of the family's 2925-position model. The record is from RNAcentral.